This 497-nucleotide ribosomal RNA is filed under the name uncultured bacterium. Its description in RNAcentral is "partial 16S ribosomal RNA". It matches the Rfam family "Bacterial small subunit ribosomal RNA", at positions 28 to 507 of the family's 1533-position model. The record is from RNAcentral.
GAUGAACGCUGGCGGCGUGCCUAAUACAUGCGAGUCGAGCGAACAGAUGAGGAGCUUGCUCCUCUGACGUUAGCGGCGGACGGGUGAGUAACACGUGGAUAACCUACCUAUAAGACUGGGAUAACUUCGGGAAACCGGAGCUAAUACCGGAUAAUAUAUUGAACCGCAUGGUUCAAUAGUGAAAGACGGUUUUGCUGUCACUUAUAGAUGGAUCCGCGCCGCAUUAGCUAGUUGGUAAGGUAACGGCUUACCAAGGCGACGAUGCGUAGCCGACCUGAGAGGGUGAUCGGCCACACUGGAACUGAGACACGGUCCAGACUCCUACGGGAGGCAGCAGUAGGGAAUCUUCCGCAAUGGGCGAAAGCCUGACGGAGCAACGCCGCGUGAGUGAUGAAGGUCUUCGGAUCGUAAAACUCUGUUAUUAGGGAAGAACAAAUGUGUAAGUAACUAUGCACGUCUUGACGGUACCUAAUCAGAAAGCCACGGCUAACUACGUG